AACGAACGCUGGCGGCAGGCCUAACACAUGCAAGUCGAGCGAGGACUUCGAUCCUAGCGUCGGACGGAGGAGUAACGCGUGGUAACGUGCCCUUUUCUUCGGAAUAGCCCUGGGAAACUUGGAGUAAUACAGGAGGAGCCCUUUGGGGGAAAGAUCUAGCGGCGAAGGAUCGGCCGGCGUUGGAUGAGGUAGUUGGUGGGGUAAUGGCCUACCAAGCCGACGGUCCGUAGCGGGAUGGUGAGGAUGAGCAGCCACACUGGGACUGAGACAAGGCCCAGACUCGUACGGGAGGCCGCAGUGGGGAAUCUUAGACCAUGGGGGCAACCCUGAGCUAGCCAUGCUGCGUGAGCGAUGAAGGCCUUAGGGUUGUAAAGCUAUAUCAGCUGGGAAGAUAAUGACGGUAACAGCAGAAGAAGCCCCGGCUAACUCCGUG
Molecule: ribosomal RNA, 433 nt
Filed under: uncultured bacterium
Lineage: Bacteria
Description: partial 16S ribosomal RNA
Rfam family: Bacterial small subunit ribosomal RNA
Source: RNAcentral